UGGGGAAUUUUGGACAAUGGGCGAAAGCCUGAUCCAGCAAUGCCGCGUGUGUGAAGAAGGCCUUCGGGUUGUAAAGCACUUUUGUCCGGAAAGAAAUCCUUGGCUCUAAUACAGUCGGGGGAUGACGGUACCGGAAGAAUAAGCACCGGCUAACUACGUGCCAGCAGCCGCGGUAAUACGUAGGGUGCAAGCGUUAAUCGGAAUUACUGGGCGUAAAGCGUGCGCAGGCGGUUUGCUAAGACCGAUGUGAAAUCCCCGGGCUCAACCUGGGAACUGCAUUGGUGACUGGCAGGCUAGAGUAUGGCAGAGGGGGGUAGAAUUCCACGUGCAGCAGUGAAAUGCGUAGAGAUGUGGAGGAAUACCGAUGGCGAAGGCAGCCCCCUGGGCCAAUACUGACGCUCAUGCACGAAAGCGUGGGGAGCAAACAGGAUUAGAUACCCUGGUAGUCCACGCCCUAAACGAUGUCAACUAGUUGUUGGGGAUUCAUUUCCUUAGUAACGUAGCUAACGCGUGAAGUUGACCGCCUGGGGAGUACGGUCGCAAGAUUAAAACUCAAUGAAUUGACGGGGUCAUAGCUG
RNAcentral lists this ribosomal RNA (578 nucleotides) under uncultured bacterium. RNAcentral describes it as "partial 16S ribosomal RNA". It matches the Rfam family "Bacterial small subunit ribosomal RNA", at positions 355 to 932 of the family's 1533-position model. The record is from RNAcentral.